This is an RNA transcript of Spinacia oleracea (spinach), 1082 nucleotides long. RefSeq lists it as uncharacterized. The transcript is spliced from 6 exons. The record is from RefSeq and is a predicted model, not a curated record. Lineage: Eukaryota; Viridiplantae; Streptophyta; Magnoliopsida; Caryophyllales; Amaranthaceae.
ACUGAAACUGAAAAAAUCUGGAACCGAAAGUCUCAUACAAAGAGUAUACUUUUUGACUUUUCUCCUCUUCCAAAGAAAAAAGAUGGGUGGCGGAAGUUGUGGUGGAGUAAUUUUGACAACAACCCAUUUGAAUUUUCCUUCGAUAACUGAUUUUACCUACAUCUCCAAGCUACAUAAUCCCAACUUCGCAAGAGCAACAAGAAGAUUCUUGAUUCAAUGUUCAUCUUCAACUCCUGAUCUCUCCAUAACUAAUGAGAAUUUUGGGGAUGUUCAUUCUCUCACUGGUGGUGCAUUGGAUUUCCAGAAAGCAACUACCUCACUUUCACCUCAUCUAUUACCUUCACCGAAGAAGAUAACUCUUCUCAGGCAUGGCCUUAGUUCAUGGAAUGCAGAAAGUAGAGUUCAGGAGAAAAGCAGGCCGAAAGAUGUAGGGAAGCAUUAGCAAAUAUCCAUUUUGAUAAAUGUUUCUCAAGUCCGAUUUCUCGUGCUAAGUCUACUUCUGAAAUUCUGUGGCAAGGAAGAAAAGAACCAUUGGUUUUCCUUGAUUCUUUGAAGGAGGCCCAUCUUUUUUUCUUAGAAGGCAUGAAAAAUGCCAACACCAAAUACCAACUCAGCCAAGGGAGGAAGUUAUUAACAAGUGCAACUUUUAUAUAUUUUUAGAAUCUUAGGGGGGGCCAUGGCCUACCUAGGCCCCCACAUAGCUUCGCCAUUGUCCCAAGGAAUACACGACAUGGAGGGAAGAUCCAAUUAACUUCAAUGUGGACGGCAUUUAUCCUAUUAGGGACUUAUGGGUGACAGCAGCUGAAGCUUGGAGACAAAUCUUGUCAAAUCCCGUAAGCCCUUUUGUCCUUUUAUCAUUGUGAAAGUUGCAAACCUGCCUGCAUAUAUUCAGUUUAUUUUUGUCUACGUCCCAAUUUCAUCUGUUUUAUCAGGGAGAGAGCUUUUUGGUGGUGACUCACAAAUCAAAAUUAAGGGCACUCGUGUGUACAGCUCUAGGGCUAGGCCCAGAAAGAUUUCGAGCAAUUGAUGUGAAUAAUGGCGGAAUUUGUGUAUUUAACUUCAAUAAAAUGGGAGAAGCUAUG